RNAcentral lists this transfer RNA (77 nucleotides) under Staphylococcus pseudintermedius. RNAcentral's name for it is "tRNA-Asp". It matches the Rfam family "tRNA". Rfam says of the family: Transfer RNA (tRNA) molecules are approximately 80 nucleotides in length. Their secondary structure includes four short double-helical elements and three loops (D, anti-codon, and T loops). Further hydrogen bonds mediate the characteristic L-shaped molecular structure. tRNAs have two regions of fundamental functional importance: the anti-codon, which is responsible for specific mRNA codon recognition, and the 3' end, to which the tRNAs corresponding amino acid is attached (by aminoacyl-tRNA synthetases). tRNAs cope with the degeneracy of the genetic code in two manners: having more than one tRNA (with a specific anti-codon) for a particular amino acid; and 'wobble' base-pairing, i.e. permitting non-standard base-pairing at the 3rd anti-codon position. Lineage: Bacteria; Bacillati; Bacillota; Bacilli; Caryophanales; Staphylococcaceae. The record is from RNAcentral.
GGUCCCGUAGUGGAGCGGUUUAACACGCCUGCCUGUCACGCAGGAGAUCGCGGUUUCGAUUCCCGUCGGGACCGCCA